Molecule: ribosomal RNA, 443 nt
Filed under: uncultured Polychytriales
Lineage: Eukaryota; Fungi; Chytridiomycota; Chytridiomycetes; Polychytriales
Description: eukaryotic LSU rRNA
Rfam family: Eukaryotic large subunit ribosomal RNA (bases 388-443)
Source: RNAcentral
CGUCUAGUACGUGAAUCAUCGAAUCUUUGAACGCACCUUGCACUUUGGGAGUCAAUCUCAAAGUAUACCUGUUUGAGUAUCAUAAACAUUUAUCCAAGUAAUUGGGAUUUGAGGAUUACUUUUACUUUCUAUGAGUAUGAGAAGGUAUAAGAAGGUAUUCCUUUAAAUAUAGAACGGAGUUAGCUGAUGAACUUGCACGCUUACUCGAGUGAGGAUAUUUGCAUUAGUGCAAAGGAUUCAUAAGAGAUUGUGUGAGGACAGUAGUGUAAUGUGACUAUGGCUAUGGCCAUAGCUAUGUUAAAUAAUUCCGAUGAUUUGUUUUGUUUUGUUGUGUUGUGAAAACAAUAUUUUUAAUUUAAUUCAAUUCAAUUUUCUUCUGUACAAAUGUGAUCUCAAAUCAGGCAAGAUUACCCGCUGAACUUAGGCAUAUCAAUAAGCGGAGG